CAUGCAAGUCGAGCGGAUGACGGGAGCUUGCUCCUUGAUUCAGCGGCGGACGGGUGAGUAAUGCCUAGGAAUCUGCCUGGUAGUGGGGGACAACGUUUCGAAAGGAACGCUAAUACCGCAUACGUCCUACGGGAGAAAGCAGGGGACCUUCGGGCCUUGCGCUAUCAGAUGAGCCUAGGUCGGAUUAGCUAGUUGGUGGGGUAAUGGCUCACCAAGGCGACGAUCCGUAACUGGUCUGAGAGGAUGAUCAGUCACACUGGAACUGAGACACGGUCCAGACUCCUACGGGAGGCAGCAGUGGGGAAUAUUGGACAAUGGGCGAAAGCCUGAUCCAGCCAUGCCGCGUGUGUGAAGAAGGUCUUCGGAUUGUAAAGCACUUUAAGUUGGGAGGAAGGGCAGUAAGUUAAUACCUUGCUGUUUUGACGUUACCGACAGAAUAAGCACCGGCUAACUCUGUGCCAGCAGCCGCGGUAAUACAGAGGGUGCAAGCGUUAAUCGGAAUUACUGGGCGUAAAGCGCGCGUAGGUGGUUUGUUAAGUUGGAUGUGAAAGCCCCGGGCUCAACCUGGGAACUGCAUCCAAAACUGGCAAGCUAGAGUACGGUAGAGGGUGGUGGAAUUUCCUGUGUAGCGGUGAAAUGCGUAGAUAUAGGAAGGAACACCAGUGGCGAAGGCGACCACCUGGACUGAUACUGACACUGAGGUGCGAAAGCGUGCGGAGCAAACAGGAUUAGAUACCCUGGUAGUCCACGCCGUACACGAUGUCAACUAGCCGUUGGAAUCCUUGAGAUUUUAGUGGCGCAGCUAACGCAUUAAGUUGACCGCCUGGGGAGUACGGCCGCAAGGUUAAAACUCAAAUGAAUUGACGGGGGCCCGCACAAGCGGUGGAGCAUGUGGUUUAA
This 900-nucleotide ribosomal RNA is filed under the name uncultured Pseudomonadales bacterium. Its description in RNAcentral is "bacterial SSU rRNA". It matches the Rfam family "Bacterial small subunit ribosomal RNA", at positions 54 to 949 of the family's 1533-position model. The record is from RNAcentral. Lineage: Bacteria; Pseudomonadati; Pseudomonadota; Gammaproteobacteria; Pseudomonadales.